Molecule: ribosomal RNA, 498 nt
Filed under: uncultured bacterium
Lineage: Bacteria
Description: partial 16S ribosomal RNA
Rfam family: Bacterial small subunit ribosomal RNA
Source: RNAcentral
GACGAACGCUGGCGGCGUGCCUAAUACAUGCAAGUCGAGCGGACGAAUCGAAAGCUUGCUUUUGAUUCGUUAGCGGCGGACGGGUGAGUAACACGUGGGCAACCUGCCCUGUAGACGGGGAUAACACCGAGAAAUCGGUGCUAAUACCGGAUAACACGAAAUGUCGCAUGACGUUUCGUUGAAAGACGGCGCAAGCUGCCGCUACAGGAUGGGCCCGCGGCGCAUUAGCUAGUUGGUGAGGUAACGGCUCACCAAGGCGACGAUACGUAGCCGACCUGAGAGGGUGAUCGGCCACACUGGGACUGAGACACGGCCCAGACUCCUACGGGAGGCAGCAGUAGGGAAUCUUCCGCAAUGGACGAAAGUCUGACGGAGCAACGACGCGUGAGCGAAGAAGGCCUUCGGGUCGUAAAGCUCUGUUGUUAGGGAAGAACAAGUAACGCAGUAACUGGCGUUAACGUGACGGUACCUAACGAGAAAGCCACGGCUAACUACGUG